UACGUAGGGGGCAAGCGUUGUCCGGAUUUAUUGGGCGUAAAGAGCGUGUAGGCGGCCAGAUAGGUCAGCUGUGAAAACUCGAGGCUCAACCUCGAGAUGUCGGCUGAAACCAUCUGGCUAGAGUCCGGAAGAGGAGAAUGGAAUUCCCGGUGUAGCGGUGAAAUGCGCAGAUAUCGGGAAGAACACCCGUGGCGAAGGCGGUUCUCUGGGACGGUACUGACGCUGAGACGCGAAAGCGUGGGGAGCAAACGGG
This 253-nucleotide ribosomal RNA is filed under the name uncultured bacterium. RNAcentral describes it as "partial 16S ribosomal RNA". It matches the Rfam family "Bacterial small subunit ribosomal RNA", at positions 524 to 776 of the family's 1533-position model. The record is from RNAcentral.